GAUGAACGCUGGCGGCGUGCCUAAUACAUGCAAGUCGAGCGAACGGACGAGAAGCUUGCUUCUCUGAUGUUAGCGGCGGACGGGUGAGUAACACGUGGAUAACCUACCUAUAAGACUGGGAUAACUUCGGGAAACCGGAGCUAAUACCGGAUAAUAUUUUGAACCGCAUGGUUCAAAAGUGAAAGACGGUCUUGCUGUCACUUAUAGAUGGAUCCGCGCUGCAUUAGCUAGUUGGUAAGGUAACGGCUUACCAAGGCAACGAUGCAUAGCCGACCUGAGAGGGUGAUCGGCCACACUGGAACUGAGACACGGUCCAGACUCCUACGGGAGGCAGCAGUAGGGAAUCUUCCGCAACGGGCGAAAGCCUGACGGAGCAACGCCGCGUGAGUGAUGAAGGUCUUCGGAUCGUAAAACUCUGUUAUUAGGGAAGAACAUAUGUGUAAGUAACUGUGCACAUCUUGACGGUACCUAAUCAGAAAGCCACGGCUAACUACGUG
RNAcentral lists this ribosomal RNA (497 nucleotides) under uncultured bacterium. RNAcentral's name for it is "partial 16S ribosomal RNA". It matches the Rfam family "Bacterial small subunit ribosomal RNA", at positions 28 to 507 of the family's 1533-position model. The record is from RNAcentral.